Macaca fascicularis (crab-eating macaque) is the source of this 1712-nucleotide long non-coding RNA. NCBI's taxonomy places the organism in Eukaryota, Metazoa, Chordata, Mammalia, Primates, Cercopithecidae. The record is from Ensembl.
GACGCUGCGCCUUCUGGACCAGCUGCUGGCCGAGUCGGCGGCCUGGGGCCCCCGAGCCUGCCCCGCGCCGCCCAGCCCGGCCCCGACCCACAGCGGUCGCGGGAGCGCGAGCUCCAGGCAGUAGUGGCAAGAAGCCCGAGAGGCCGGCAGCCAUCUCCUACGACCACGCGGAAGAGGGGCUGAUGGCUAGCAUCGAGCGGGAGUACUGCCGCUGAGGACAGCAUGCCCCGCCAGGCCUCGGAGGCACCUGCUGGCUGGGGCACCCCCUCCUCGCCCAGAGCUCUAGCAGGAGCUGAACCACCUCCAAAACGCAGCCACUCCCGGAUAUUCAAAGCUGACCUUGCAAAUCCACUUUCCGACCGUGCUGACCUGGGCCAGCCACUGGUGGUCAUGGUUGCUGGUGGGGGCGAUUAGCUGUGCAGACCCACAGGUGCGUGGGCCCGGGCCGCCGGCGCCUCCUCCCCAACACGGGGAGCCUGCCCGGUUCUCCUGGAGCCUGAAAUGCGUGCGCAUCUUGGCUGCCCGCUCUCCACAGUGGGGAGGGCUCACCAGGCUUGGGUGACACAAGCGAGCCCCUCCUGGCAUCCACGCCACAGCACUUCCGGAAGGUUCCGCUCUGGAAGGUACACCCGCGCUGCUCCCUCAGUCUCAGGCCCAUCUCUCCAGGGGUGGCCGGGUCAAUUUAGAACUUCUCAACUUUAACUCCCUAAUGAGCAGGCUGGGGGUGCUGUUGACAUGCAGGGCCUGAGGUUCUCUACGUCUAACCAGCUCCCAGCUGAGGCCCAAGCUCCGAAGCCCCAACUGCACUUUGAGGAACGAGAAUCCCAGCUUUGAUCUGCCUUGCAGUGGGAGGUAGAGCGCGUCACUGCCUCUCUGGGCCUCAGUUUCCCUCUCUGGAAAAUCAGCUCUGGCAGCUCUUGGAGGCCCUUCCCAGCUCUGACAAUCUGGAACUGCACAAGCCCAGGCUACCACUACUGUUCCCCCACCCUAGGCACAGCACCGCCUUCCCUGCGGGCAGCCAGCGCCCAGGUCCCACGGGGAGAGGGUCUGCCUGACACUGGCUUUCCAGUUCUCCCUCUCACAGGCAGCCUGGCCAGUGCCUACGGGGCUUUUAAAUUCUCUUCCCGCCUAGGUGGAAGGUGGGAAACCACAGCAGUAAGGCAGGAAGAGCCUUGGAAUGUUCCUGGUUGACAGAUGGGAAAACUGACCUGCCCGGGACGCCCUGGGAACAGGGGGCGGAGCUCCGGCGAGAGGGGACUCCUGUGUGGGCGGGCAGGUCUGGAGUCUGGGCCCAGGUGCGGCCUGCUGGGGGACAGCUCCGGGGGAGAACUGCGGGGAGAACAGCGGUCUAGGGAGGCAGGAGGCAGGAGGCAGGCGGCAGGCUCCUCCCCAGCAGCCUGGAGGGCAUCAGGACAGAGGGGGAAGGAGGAAACAGCGCGGCUUCCGCUGAAACCAGUACAAGCCUGGUUAUCUGGCUUGACCCGCCAACACGGAGGCCCCCGCCACCGUUUUCUUUUUCCCCCUGAGAAGAGCUCCGCUCCCACGUCCUUAGAACACGGCAGAGCAGGAGCAUCUCAGGAAUCAACGCCAGCUCCUUGGCGCUGUCCCCAGACCCACAGGCCUGCUGCGGCCAUUCGCAAACGGGCAUUUCCUUGAACUUUUGAGAGUGCCUUUGACCAGCUGUUCGCAGCUGGGAAACUCCAAGUUUCGAA